This is a long non-coding RNA of Bos indicus x Bos taurus (hybrid cattle), 1230 nucleotides long. Lineage: Eukaryota; Metazoa; Chordata; Mammalia; Artiodactyla; Bovidae. The record is from Ensembl.
AUGCGAAGUAGGCGGUCACCUUCCUUCCCAUCAGGAUUGGCAAAAAAAAAAAGAAACCCCGAGUGCGGCGGCGUCCGGAGGGCAGCGGCGGUGGCGGCCUCUCGGCGACGGUUUCCUAGGCGCCCCCGGCUCCCGUUCCCCGAGGCCGGUGGGUGCGCGCGCGCGCGGGGGCCGCCAGCGACCCAGGCCGAGCGCGCGGCGCGCCGCGGGGACAAUACGGCCGGAUCCCCCGGGACCGGGAGUCCGAGCGCACGGGGCCUGGGGCCUGCGGGGCGGGGGCGGGGGAGGGGACCGGGGGGUCCACUGGGAAAACGGGGCGCGCGCGGCUCCGGGCCCCCAGGGGAGCGGCCCCUGCUGGCAGGGGAUCCCGCGCGGCGCCCCGGGAGCGCAAGUGAGAGACGGGAACGCAGGCGAAGUGGAACCCUUUUGUUUUGCCGGCCCCGCAUUGUUGGCUCCUCCGGGCAGCCGGGCCACAUCUGCCGCCGCCGCCGCCGCCGCCACUGCCGCGCCGGGCUCGGCCCGCCAAAGUCGCAGCGGGGCGGGGGCCCGGGGCGAGCCGGGCGACGGGCGCGGGCGGGGGCCGAGCUGGCCGGGCAUUUCCUCUGCCCGGCCGCGCUCGCGCCGGCACCACUUCCUCCUCGCCCGCCGCUGCCGCGGCCGCCGCGAACCCGGCCCGCCCGCCCGCCUCCCCCCGCCCUGGCCGCACUUUUCGGGUGGGGCGAAGCCAAAAGAAAAAGUUUCGCAGGAGGGGCUGGCGAGGGCGCGCCCCGGGCGGCGGGGACUCGGCGCGGCGCAGCGACAGCCGAGCGGCCGCGAUCGCCUCUUCCUCCUUGUCCUCAGCGGCGCCGGACCGACCCGCGCGGCCGAGGGGAAGCGCCUUUCUUUCUCUGCCUGGCGCUCUUCCCAGCUCCCCGGGGCAAGUUGGACACGGGCGCGCGAGAUCCGGGGCGCGCGGUGGCCCUUCACCAGCCGGAGAGGCCCGCGGCGUGGCCGGUCGCCCUCUGCCCACGCAGCGCCCGGGUGCUGGGAGGCCGCGGGCCCAGGAGCUCGGCGCGGUCACCGCCGGCCGCGUCGAGACACACACGCGCACACACUCCCUCCGGUGGCUUCGCUUUCCGCCGCCGCCGAUGGUCUCGGACACCGAGUGUGAGUGCGCCCGCGAGUGUAUGUAGUGCUCCCAGCUCCCCGAAUACUUUUUCCGGAGGCGGCCCAAGCAGCUGUUGGCUCUAA